GAUGAACGCUAGCGGCAGGCUUAACACAUGCAAGUCGAGGGGUAUAGUUCUUCGGAAUUAGAGACCGGCGCACGGGUGCGUAACGCGUAUGCAAUCUACCUUUCACAGAGGGAUAGCCCCAGAGAAAUUUGGAUUAAUACCUCAUAGUAUAGCAGUUUCGCAUGAAACCACUAUUAAAGUCACAACGGUGAAAGAUGAGCAUGCGUCCCAUUAGCUAGUUGGUAAGGUAACGGCUUACCAAGGCAACGAUGGGUAGGGGUCCUGAGAGGGAGAUCCCCCACACUGGUACUGAGACACGGACCAGACUCCUACGGGAGGCAGCAGUGAGGAAUAUUGGACAAUGGGCGCAAGCCUGAUCCAGCCAUGCCGCGUGCAGGAUGACGGUCCUAUGGAUUGUAAACUGCUUUUGUACAGGAAGAAACACUCCCUCGUGAGGGAGCUUGACGGUACUGUAAGAAUAAGGAUCGGCUAACUCCGUGCCAGC
Molecule: ribosomal RNA, 484 nt
Filed under: uncultured bacterium
Lineage: Bacteria
Description: bacterial SSU rRNA
Rfam family: Bacterial small subunit ribosomal RNA
Source: RNAcentral